This 465-nucleotide ribosomal RNA is filed under the name Vreelandella stevensii. RNAcentral's name for it is "partial 16S ribosomal RNA". It matches the Rfam family "Bacterial small subunit ribosomal RNA", at positions 338 to 795 of the family's 1533-position model. Lineage: Bacteria; Pseudomonadati; Pseudomonadota; Gammaproteobacteria; Oceanospirillales; Halomonadaceae. The record is from RNAcentral.
CCUACGGGUGGCAGCAGUGGGGAAUAUUGGACAAUGGGCGAAAGCCUGAUCCAGCCAUGCCGCGUGUGUGAAGAAGGCCUUCGGGUUGUAAAGCACUUUCAGUGGGGAAGAAAGCCUUGGGGCUAAUACCCUCGAGGAAGGACAUCACCCACAGAAGAAGCACCGGCUAACUCCGUGCCAGCAGCCGCGGUAAUACGGAGGGUGCGAGCGUUAAUCGGAAUUACUGGGCGUAAAGCGCGCGUAGGCGGUCUGAUAAGCCGGUUGUGAAAGCCCCGGGCUCAACCUGGGAACGGCAUCCGGAACUGUCAGGCUAGAGUGCAGGAGAGGAAGGUAGAAUUCCCGGUGUAGCGGUGAAAUGCGUAGAGAUCGGGAGGAAUACCAGUGGCGAAGGCGGUCUUCUGGACUGACACUGACGCUGAGGUGCGAAAGCGUGGGUAGCAAACAGUAUUAGAUACCCCGGUAGUC